This 204-nucleotide ribosomal RNA is filed under the name uncultured bacterium. Its description in RNAcentral is "partial 16S ribosomal RNA". It matches the Rfam family "Bacterial small subunit ribosomal RNA", at positions 1297 to 1500 of the family's 1533-position model. The record is from RNAcentral.
AUCGCAGGCUGNAACCCGCCUGCGUGAAGUUGGAAUCGCUAGUAAUCGCGGAUCAGCAUGCCGCGGUGAAUACGUUCCCGGGCCUUGUACACACCGCCCGUCACACCAUGAGAGUCGGGAACACCCGAAGUCCGUAGCCUAACAGCAAUGGGGGCGCGGCCGAAGGUGGGUUCGAUAAUUGGGGUGAAGUCGUAACAAGGUAUC